GUCAAGAUGGCCAAGUGGUCUAAGGUGGCAGACUCAAGUUCUGCUCCUCUCAAGAGGGCAUGGGUUCAAAUCCCACUUCUGACA
This is a transfer RNA of Selaginella moellendorffii, 84 nucleotides long. It matches the Rfam family "tRNA". From Rfam's summary of the family: Transfer RNA (tRNA) molecules are approximately 80 nucleotides in length. Their secondary structure includes four short double-helical elements and three loops (D, anti-codon, and T loops). NCBI's taxonomy places the organism in Eukaryota, Viridiplantae, Streptophyta, Lycopodiopsida, Selaginellales, Selaginellaceae. The record is from Rfam.